RNAcentral lists this transfer RNA (63 nucleotides) under Cacopsylla burckhardti. RNAcentral describes it as "tRNA-Trp". Lineage: Eukaryota; Metazoa; Arthropoda; Insecta; Hemiptera; Psyllidae. The record is from RNAcentral.
AAAGUCUUAAGUUAAUUUAAACUAUUAGCCUUCAAAGUUGAAAAUGAAAAGUUUUAGGCUUUG